This 718-nucleotide ribosomal RNA is filed under the name uncultured Lachnospiraceae bacterium. RNAcentral describes it as "bacterial SSU rRNA". It matches the Rfam family "Bacterial small subunit ribosomal RNA", at positions 28 to 748 of the family's 1533-position model. The record is from RNAcentral. Lineage: Bacteria; Bacillati; Bacillota; Clostridia; Lachnospirales; Lachnospiraceae.
GAUGAACGCUGGCGGCGUGCCUAACACAUGCAAGUCGAACGAAGCACCUUUUAAGAUUCUUCGGAUGAUUGAUUGGUGACUGAGUGGCGGACGGGUGAGUAACGCGUGGGUAACCUGCCCUGUACAGGGGGAUAACAGUUGGAAACGGCUGCUAAUACCGCAUAAGCGCACGAGAGGACAUCCUCUUGUGUGAAAAACUCCGGUGGUACAGGAUGGGCCCGCGUCUGAUUAGCUGGUUGGCAGGGUAACGGCCUACCAAGGCGACGAUCAGUAGCCGGUCUGAGAGGAUGAACGGCCACAUUGGAACUGAGACACGGUCCAAACUCCUACGGGAGGCAGCAGUGGGGAAUAUUGCACAAUGGGGGAAACCCUGAUGCAGCAACGCCGCGUGAGUGAAGAAGUAUUUCGGUAUGUAAAGCUCUAUCAGCAGGGAAGAUAAUGACGGUACCUGACUAAGAAGCUCCGGCUAAAUACGUGCCAGCAGCCGCGGUAAUACGUAUGGAGCAAGCGUUAUCCGGAUUUACUGGGUGUAAAGGGUGCGUAGGUGGCAGUGCAAGUCAGAUGUGAAAGGCCGGGGCUCAACCCCGGAGCUGCAUUUGAAACUGCAUAGCUAGAGUACAGGAGAGGCAGGCGGAAUUCCUAGUGUAGCGGUGAAAUGCGUAGAUAUUAGGAGGAACACCAGUGGCGAAGGCGGCCUGCUGGACUGUUACUGACACUG